UACGUAGGGGGCAAGCGUUAUCCGGAUUUACUGGGUGUAAAGGGAGCGUAGGUGGUUCGGCAAGUCAGAUGUGAAAGCCCGGGGCUCAACCCCGGGACUGCAUUUGAAACUGUCGUACUAGAGUGCAGGAGAGGUAAGUGGAAUUCCUAGUGUAGCGGUGAAAUGCGUAGAUAUUAGGAGGAACACCAGUGGCGAAGGCGGCUUACUGGACUGUAACUGACACUGAGGCUCGAAAGCGUGGGGAGCAAAC
RNAcentral lists this ribosomal RNA (250 nucleotides) under uncultured bacterium. RNAcentral's name for it is "partial 16S ribosomal RNA". It matches the Rfam family "Bacterial small subunit ribosomal RNA", at positions 524 to 773 of the family's 1533-position model. The record is from RNAcentral.